RNAcentral lists this ribosomal RNA (449 nucleotides) under uncultured bacterium. RNAcentral's name for it is "partial 16S ribosomal RNA". It matches the Rfam family "Bacterial small subunit ribosomal RNA", at positions 29 to 523 of the family's 1533-position model. The record is from RNAcentral.
AAUGAACGCUGGCGGCAGGCCUAACACAUGCAAGUCGAACGGAUCCUUCGGGAUUAGUGGCGGACGGGUGAGUAACGCGUGGGAACAUACCCAAAGGUACGGAAUAGCCUCGGGAAACUGGGAGUAAUACCGUAUGUGCUCGAAAGAGGAAAGAUUUAUCGCCUUUGGAUUGGCCGGCGUUGGAUUAGGUAGCUGGUGGGGUAAUGGCCUACCAAGCCGACGAUCCAUGGCGGGUUUGAGAGGAUGAUCAGCCACACCGGGACUGAGACACGGCCCAGACUACUACGGGAGGCAGCAGUGGGGAAUCUUAGACAAUGGGGGAAACCCUGAUCUAGCCAUGCCGCGUGAUCGAUGAAGGCCUUAGGGUUGUAAAGAUCUUUCAGGUGGGAAGAUAAUGACUGCACCACCAGAAGAAGCCCCGGCUAACUCCGUGCCAGCAGCCGCCGUAA